Non-coding RNA from Podarcis muralis (Common wall lizard), 914 nucleotides. Lineage: Eukaryota; Metazoa; Chordata; Lepidosauria; Squamata; Lacertidae. The record is from RefSeq and is a predicted model, not a curated record.
GCACCGGGCAGACAAGGUCUCGCAGAAUUGCUAACACAUUUGCUGGUUUUUAAGCUGCGGCAAACGAGUUACCUAGACAUAAUGGAGCGCUAUCGAUAGACGGGUCAUGGAUCCCGAUCCAUUGCACGUAUUAAGCGAUCGUCUCCAUUUAAGUCAUUUUAUUCCCCUUUAAACCAACCGAGUAAUGAUGGCUACCAAGUUAUUGCAUCUUUCACAAACUCAGAACUUUUAAAAUCAGCGCCGCAUACUUCACUGAUGCAACGCCGCCAGUCGUUUAUAUAGAUGAGUAACUAGGAAAGCACGACCAAAGACCAAUCAAUUUCAAUGAGGAAGAAUUAAGCACGUGCUUAAUCGACAACAAGGGGACUUACAAGCGCUUCACUUUGACUGGAUCCUGCCCUUUCAGGAAUACGGAGGAGGCAGUAAACUAUAGUCUGCGGGGUCUUUCCAAAAUACCAGAAGAGCAUGGGAAUGUUUGCAAAACAUUUUUGGCUGCAGCCGUUGACGGGAUGAAAGCCAAGGCAAGGGAAGAGACAGACAGAUAGCUCUGCCACAGAUCCUCCGUGAAGUCCAAGAGCAAGGCUUGCUGACCCCCAAGCGAGGGACCAUUUGUCAAGGGGGAAGACAUCCCGUGCGUCCGGGAAACCGCGAGAAACAGUAUUUCAAUUGUCUUAUAUAUGCUUCAAAAUAGCACCGAUUAUGAAUUCUCAGUAAGUAGAUAUGUGGCAGUCACUGCAGAGGCUAAGCUUACCGAAAUAUAAGAUAGAUACAAGGAUUAAAGAGAGAGACAGACAGAUGGAUAAGAUGGACAGACAGAAAGCGGAGGCAGGCCAACCAGUAUUCCACAUUUGCACAUUAGCACGAGACAAUGGCGUUUUAAUAAUUUAAAAUAAAAUAUUUUUUUAAUCACUGGA